AGUCGUGCGAGAAAGGGCUUCGGCCCCGGUAAAGCGGCGCACGGGUGAGUAACACGUAGGUAAUCUACCCUCGAGUGGUGGAUAACCCUCCGAAAGGAGAGCUAAUACAGCAUGAGACCACGGUCUUCGGACUGCGGCCAAAGUGGGCCUAUCCACGGAAGCUCAUGCUCGAGGAAGAGCCUGCGGCCCAUCAGCUAGUUGGCAGGGUAACGGCCUACCAAGGCGAAGACGGGUAGCUGGUCUGAGAGGAUGAACAGCCACACUGGAACUGAGACACGGUCCAGACUCCUACGGGAGGCAGCAGUGGGGAAUCUUGCGCAAUGGGCGAAAGCCUGACGCAGCGACGCCGCGUGAGCGAUGAAGGCCUUCGGGUUGUAAAGCUCUGUGGGGAGGAAAGAAUAAGGGCAGGCUAAUACCCUGUCCGAUGACGGUACCUCCUUAGCAAGCACCGGCUAACUCUGUGCCAGCAGCCGCGGUAAGACAGAGGGUGCAAACGUUGUUCGGAAUUACUGGGCGUAAAGCGCAUGUAGGCGGCUUCGCAAGUCGGGCGUGAAAGCCCACGGCUCAACCGUGGAAGUGCACUCGAAACUGCGGAGCUAGAGUCCCGGAGAGGAAGGUGGAAUGCUUGGUGUAGAGGUGAAAUUCGUAGAUAUCAAGCG
This 659-nucleotide ribosomal RNA is filed under the name uncultured bacterium. RNAcentral's name for it is "bacterial SSU rRNA". It matches the Rfam family "Bacterial small subunit ribosomal RNA", at positions 60 to 703 of the family's 1533-position model. The record is from RNAcentral.